CAUGUUUUCCCCAACUGGUCAGAAGUUCUUGUCUUACUGUCACAUGGUGUUAAAUUUUAGAAAAAGGAGACAUUACCGCUUGACAGACUACAACAGCUGAACAGCAACAGCUGGGAGGACACAGUUGCAGGCGUAACAUUCGGUCCCGGAGAAGGCAGCAACAGGUGGGGUGAAAGGAAGAGAAAUGGAUGUGGUAAGCUUGAGGGUGGGGUUGUCUGAGACGGAUCUUGGCAGGAAUCAAAUUCUCUACUUCAGAGGGAAUCUCUCUGGGCAUGACAGCCCAUGUGCCUGAAUGUCUGUCCUUUUUCUGAACAAAUACAUCUUGAAAAAAGAGUGAGGAUUAAGAGAGCCAAAGCUUUGGUUUCUGUUAAAAUAAAGCAAAUGAAUCUACUUGACUCACUAUGGUAACUGAUCCCUCCCAAAGAGCUCGUGGUCACUAGGAUCAGAAGAUAUCUGAUCCAGUACAUGCAGAUCAGAAUCUUUAGGGCAAGCACUGCUUUCAGACUGAGUGAAGACAUUUUGAGGCUUAAGAACCAGACUUGUUGGAUUCAGCAUUUCAUUCUGUCAAAGAGUUGAUUGACAAUGGGAAUGAGUCAUUUAAUUUUCUGAUUCAUCAGCUAGACCUUUCUUCUUAAGCGUGGCCAUUCCGUACUUCCUAAUAGAGAUGAAUGGCUGAAAAAUCAAAGCCUACCAUGAUCCUCAGAUAAGAAGUACAAUGUGUUAACCUAAUUAUCACUACAGCAGUUAUAUAACCAAGCUAUUAAAGUGACAUGUAGGUUGAAAAUACAUUAAGGUUUUGAGCACAGGAAAUUUAUUUUUUCCCUAUAAUAUGGUUCAAAUCUCCAGCCAUUUUUAGCCAAGGAUAGAGGCUUUUGAAAAUCCCAAAUGACUUUUUAUUUAACUUUGCUUUUGAUGCUAAUUCCCAUGAAGUCCAUUAGGGGAAAUUUUUUUUCUUUCUCUUAAAAGAACUACCCAAAGCCUUUAGGAAAAAGUGGUAUAGCUACCUAGUCAAGCUAUACAGAGUGGAGUAUGUUCUAUCUUGUCCUACCACUAUCGCUGAGUACAAAGUGUCAUGUGACCUAAUCACUUCACUUCUCAAUUUCCUCUUUAUAUGAAUAGCUACAUAUUUGCCCUGUUUCAUAGGAAUAGGGCAGGUAAGAGAAGAGGAGAGAUGUAAAUGACAUUAGGGUCUGAGGAAGAAAGGAGAUGAAGCUAAGGAUUGUAUUUUGCGUUUUUUUUUUUUUUAAUAAUAAAGAUGAAUUCAGGGUGUCCUAAUGACACCUUCCCUCUCCCCCUCACCCACCUCCAUCUGCCCAUCCUUCAGGGCCCAGCUCAACUCCCCUGUCUCUGCAUCUCGCCACUUGACCCCUCCUCAUUCACUGUCUACUCUUUGUUCCAUGAGUGCUGUGAGUUGCUUGAGGCCCCAGACUAUGUCUUUCAUUGAGCACUGCAUGUAUGUUUGUUACUUGCUUGGUUUUCAUUGCCGUAUGACCUAUUUUGGCCCCCGAGAUGCAUAAAAAUUCAUACUUUAAUUUCAUAAUGCUUUAAAAUUGUCUAUUGUUCCUUCCAACAUCUGUUCCCAUUAUACAGAUUCAAGCCCAAGAGAAGUGAGGCAUGGGAUGCUUUAAUUCAAAGACCUCCUCAGCUGUAAGGUGAACAAAUGAGGGUACAGAAGAGAGAGUUGUUAGAAUCUACAUUGGUACUUUCAAAAAUGUUUCCUUUCUUCCUUCCUAGAUGCUUUCUGCAUUAGCACUGUGCUCCAUUUCUUCAGUCCUAUGCCCUUCCCAAAAUUGGCACUGCAAGACAUGAUACCUUAAAGGCAUCUCCAAAUGAGCAGGUCAGCCUUCUCAUCGAGCCCAGAGGAGAGCUGGACUCUCAGCCCAGGAUGUUCACAAAGCAAAGCAUGAGCAACAUCGCAGGGCCUGCUGUCCUGGUGGGACUGAGAUGGAGAGCCUUACAAGAAGGAUGAAAAGCAACUCAUCAAUUUCCGCAUAAAGGCACAACUGUGCCCAGGCUAGUCAGUUCACAGACCUGCUAGAAGCCCGUGAUGCUGCCUGUAAGCUUCAACACAGAGUUUUCUACUGAUUGCAGCUGCAGGCCUUCUGAAGAAGGGGAUGAAAACAGCCACGCAUAUCGGAGAUGCCAUUUCCUGUUAACUUUGAUGGUCUUGACAUACAAGAAAAUGUGCCGGAUCAGUCACACACUCAGAAGAAAGCUGUGGGGGGAGAUAAACACACCUGUACCUGAUAAUUGCUGACAACGUUCCAUGAAGCAGAAUGGUGUGUUUGGGAACAAAGUGUACCUCAUCGAAAAUCAGGGUUAACCAGCAACAUCUCUGAGUUGAACGGAGGUUCCGACGCGCGCACGCACACACACACACUCACACACACGCGCACACACACACACACACACAACUUCCAUCUUAGUCCGAUCUCUGUGAAUUGAUGCCAUUUAAUCAGAAAGGUGCUUCGGCUCUAGGACACUUCAUUUUAAUUCUGAAUGGGCUACAACAUUAAAACCUCCCACGUCCUGUCCCUCCUUGGACACUCUCUUUCCAAUGUCAGCCAAGUCAAUUGCCACGAAUUUUAAUCCUCUCCACACCACUGCCUUGUCUUUCCUACCCAACAAAAGUCACUGUUAGUUCAGAAAAAGAAUCCCAUAUCCAGGAACAAUUAGAGAAGCAAUCAAUAGUUUUAUGAAUCAGGAAUGCUCCCCCCCCCCCCCCGCAAAUUCCCCAGGAAUUAUCAAAAUAUGCAAAGAAAUUCAGUGAAGGCUAAUAAAGGUGACCCAAGAAGGCAUUAUUGCCACUGAAUGGACUUGUGCUCAUUACUGUUCCAGAAAGUACAGAUCAAUGCCACAAAGAAGAUGAUGCCACAAAACAAACUGCAUUCUGUUAAUGACUGUUACAGAAAUCUCCAUACAAAGAAAUCUAAGUGGGAUAUUUCUAAUAUGCUCACUACCAUGAUGACAAAACCAAGGUAUGCUUUUCGUCUAUGAAUUCUGACACCUUAAAUACAGAAUGAUCGUCCCCACGUAACACUCUUCCUUGUGCAUUUUACUUUCUUUCCAAGAACCUGCGUGUUUCCAUGGCUGUGCUCAAUGAACUUUUUAUCAGCCACAUUUUCACCUAAUUAACCCCCCUGAUUACAAUAAUUAGUAUUGAUUCACUCUUUGAAUGACUUCCUCGGUCUUCUAGCACAAUCUGCACUUGCUACAAAGUUCUAGAUAUGAAUACUAAUCAAAUGCUCACUUUCGUUUUUCAGCCCCAAAAGGAGAUUUUUGCAAAUGUAUACCCUCCUAUUUUAAAAAAAGCAAAACUGUCUGGUUUCAUUUUAACAAAUCAAGGAAUAUUCAUACACAGGGGGUUAGAGAUCUCAGUCUGUGGUCUGCUGAACACAUCUAUGUGAA
Molecule: long non-coding RNA, 3408 nt
Filed under: Homo sapiens (human)
Lineage: Eukaryota; Metazoa; Chordata; Mammalia; Primates; Hominidae
Description: HSALNT0158923
Source: RNAcentral